This 482-nucleotide ribosomal RNA is filed under the name uncultured bacterium. RNAcentral describes it as "partial 16S ribosomal RNA". It matches the Rfam family "Bacterial small subunit ribosomal RNA", at positions 30 to 507 of the family's 1533-position model. The record is from RNAcentral.
AUUGAACGCUGGCGGCAUGCUUUACACAUGCAAGUCGAACGGUAACAGGCCGCAAGGUGCUGACGAGUGGCGAACGGGUGAGUAAUGCAUCGGAACGUGCCCAGUCGUGGGGGAUAACUACUCGAAAGAGUAGCUAAUACCGCAUACGAUCUAUGGAUGAAAGCGGGGGACCGGAAGGCCUCGCGCGAUUGGAGCGGCCGAUGUCAGAUUAGGUAGUUGGUGGGGUAAAGGCUCACCAAGCCAACGAUCUGUAGCUGGUCUGAGAGGACGACCAGCCACACUGGGACUGGGACACGGCCCAGACGCCUACGGGAGGCAGCAGUGGGGAAUUUUGGACAAAGGGCGCAAGCCUGAUCCAGCAAUGCCGCGUGCAGGAAGAAGGCCUUCGGGUUGUAAACUGCUUUUGUACGGAACGAAACGGCUCUGGUUAAUACCCGGGGCUAAUGACGGUACCGUAAGAAUAAGCACCGGCUAACUACGUG